This 254-nucleotide ribosomal RNA is filed under the name uncultured bacterium. RNAcentral's name for it is "partial 16S ribosomal RNA". It matches the Rfam family "Bacterial small subunit ribosomal RNA", at positions 524 to 776 of the family's 1533-position model. The record is from RNAcentral.
UACGUAGGGAGCGAGCGUUGUCCGGAUUUAUUGGGCGUAAAGCGCGCGUAGGCGGUUUGGUAAGUCGGGUGUGAAACCUCCAAGCUUAACUUGGAGCUGCCACUCGAAACUGCCAUGACUUGAGUUCGGUAGGGGAACACGGAAUUCCAGGUGUAGCGGUGAAAUGCUUAGAUAUCUGGAGGAACACCAGUGGCGAAGGCGGUGUUCUGGGCCGAUACUGACGCUGAUGCGCGAAAGCGUGGGGAGCGAACAGG